GAAUUAAUACCGCAUGUGAUUAGAGAGGACAUCCUUUCGAAAUUAAAGUCGGGGCAACCUGACGCUUCUUGUGGGGCCCGCGGCCUAUCAGCUAGUUGGUGAGGUAACGGCUCACCAAGGCUUUGACGGGUAGCUGGUCUGAGAGGACGACCAGCCACACUGGGACUGAGACACGGCCCAGACACCUACGGGUGGCAGCAGUCGAGAAUUUUUGACAAUGGGGGAAACCCUGAUCGAGCGACGCCGCGUGGAGGAUGAAGGUCUUCGGAUUGUAAACUCCUGUCAUUGGGGAACAAGGUGCAUACGUUAACUGCGUGUGCAUUGAUAGUACCCGAAGAGGAAGAGACGGCUAACUCUGUGCCAGCAGCCGCGGUAAUACAGAGGUCUCAAGCGUUGUUCGGAUUCAUUGGGCGUAAAGGGUGCGUAGGCGGCGCGGUAAGUCGGGUGUGAAAUCUCGGAGCUUAACUCC
This 469-nucleotide ribosomal RNA is filed under the name uncultured soil bacterium. Its description in RNAcentral is "bacterial SSU rRNA". It matches the Rfam family "Bacterial small subunit ribosomal RNA", at positions 160 to 616 of the family's 1533-position model. The record is from RNAcentral.